Molecule: ribosomal RNA, 800 nt
Filed under: marine sediment metagenome
Description: SSU rRNA
Rfam family: Bacterial small subunit ribosomal RNA
Source: RNAcentral
GGUUGUAAAGCUCUUUCAGCCGGAACGAAACGGUCACGGUUAAUACCCGUGACUACUGACGGUACCGGAAGAAGAAGCACCGGCUAACUACGUGCCAGCAGCCGCGGUAAUACGUAGGGUGCGAGCGUUAAUCGGAAUUACUGGGCGUAAAGCGUGCGCAGGUGGUUUUGUAAGUCAGAUGUGAAAUCCCCGGGCUUAACCUGGGAACUGCGUUUGAAACUGCAAGGCUAGAGUGUGGCAGAGGGGGGUGGAAUUCCGCGUGUAGCAGUGAAAUGCGUAGAGAUGUGGAGGAACACCGAUGGCGAAGGCAGCCCCCUGGGUCAACACUGACGCUCAGGCACGAAAGCAUGGGGAGCAAACAGGAUUAGAUACCCUGGUAGUCCAUGCCCUAAACGAUGUCAACUAGUUGUCGGGUCUUAACGGGCUUGGUAACGUAGCUAACGCGUGAAGUUGACCGCCUGGGGAGUACGAUCGCAAGAUUAAAACUCAAAGGAAUUGACGGGGACCCGCACAAGCGGUGGAUUAUGUGGAUUAAUUCGAUGCAACGCGAAAAACCUUACCUACCCUUGACAUGUAUUGAAACCCGCAGAGAUGUGGGUGUGCCCGAAAGGGAACGAUAACACAGGUGCUGCAUGGCUGUCGUCAGCUCGUGUCGUGAGAUGUUGGGUUAAGUCCCGCAACGAGCGCAACCCUUGUCAUUAAUUGCCAUCAUUUAGUUGGGCACUUUAAUGAGACUGCCGGUGACAAACCGGAGGAAGGUGGGGAUGACGUCAAGUCCUCAUGGCCCUUAUGGGUAGGGC